GACGAACGCUGGCGGCGUGCUUAACACAUGCAAGUCGAGCGGUAAGGCCCUUUCGGGGGUACACGAGCGGCGAACGGGUGAGUAACACGUGGGUGACCUGCCCUCAGCUCUGGGAUAAGCCUGGGAAACUGGGUCUAAUACCGGAUAUGACUUCGCAUCGCAUGGUGUGGGGUGGAAAGUUUUUCGGCUGGGGAUGGGCCCGCGGCCUAUCAGCUUGUUGGUGGGGUGAUGGCCUACCAAGGCGACGACGGGUAGCCGGCCUGAGAGGGCGACCGGCCACACUGGGACUGAGACACGGCCCAGACUCCUACGGGAGGCAGCAGUGGGGAAUAUUGCGCAAUGGGCGGAAGCCUGACGCAGCGACGCCGCGUGGGGGAUGACGGCCUU
This 387-nucleotide ribosomal RNA is filed under the name uncultured bacterium. RNAcentral's name for it is "bacterial SSU rRNA". It matches the Rfam family "Bacterial small subunit ribosomal RNA", at positions 28 to 418 of the family's 1533-position model. The record is from RNAcentral.